ACGGUCACAUGAAGUUGAAACAUUGGUUCCCGUACUAACACUGAAGUUAGGCAAAGUCAAGCCUGUUGAGUACUUAGAUGGGUGACCGCUUGGGAAUCCCAGGUGCUA
Acanthosepion pharaonis is the source of this 108-nucleotide non-coding RNA. The record is from the annotation of a GenBank genome assembly. NCBI's taxonomy places the organism in Eukaryota, Metazoa, Mollusca, Cephalopoda, Sepiida, Sepiidae.